GAUGAACGCUAGCUACAGGCUUAACACAUGCAAGUCGAGGGGUAACGAGAGGAAAGCUUGCUUUCCUUGUCGACGACCGGCGCACGGGUGAGUAACGCGUAUCCAACCUGCCCCCAACUAAGGAAUAACCUUGCGAAAGUAAGACUAAUACCUUAUAAUUUCCUCAGAUGACAUCUGACGAGGAAUAAAGAUUUAUCGGUUGUGGAUGGGGAUGCGUCUGAUUAGCUUGUUGGUGGGGUAACGGCCCACCAAGGCAACGAUCAGUAGGGGUUCUGAGAGGAAGGUCCCCCACAUUGGAACUGAGACACGGUCAAAACUCCUACGGGAGGCAGCAGUGAGGAAUAUUGGUCAAUGGGCGGAAGCCUGAACCAGCCAAGUAGCGUACAGGAUGACGGCCCUAUGGGUUGUAAACUGCUUUUAUACAGGAAUAAAGUUAGCCACGUGUGGUUAUUUGUAGGUACUGUAUGAAUAAGGACCGGCUAAUUCCGUGCCAGCAGCCGCAGUAA
RNAcentral lists this ribosomal RNA (506 nucleotides) under uncultured bacterium. Its description in RNAcentral is "partial 16S ribosomal RNA". It matches the Rfam family "Bacterial small subunit ribosomal RNA", at positions 28 to 523 of the family's 1533-position model. The record is from RNAcentral.